RNAcentral lists this ribosomal RNA (324 nucleotides) under uncultured eukaryote. RNAcentral's name for it is "partial 18S ribosomal RNA". It matches the Rfam family "Eukaryotic small subunit ribosomal RNA", at positions 1470 to 1796 of the family's 1831-position model. The record is from RNAcentral.
CCCUUAGAUGCUCUGGGCCGCACGCGCGCUACACUGGUCGAUGCAACGAGUUUCUUUCCUUGGCCGACAGGCCUGGGCAAUCUUUGAACAUCGAUCGUGAUCGGGAUAGAUUCUUGUAAUUUUUGAUCUUAAACGAGGAAUUCCUAGUAAACGCAAGUCAUCAGCUUGCAUUGAUUACGUCCCUGCCCUUUGUACACACCGCCCGUCGCUCCUACCGAUUGAAUGGUCCGGUGAAAUCUCCGGACUGGCGUGAGUCGGAGCAAUCUGACAAACGCCGGAAAGUUGAUUAAACCUUACCAUUUAGAGGAAGGUGAAGUCGUAACA